GAUGAACGCUGGCGGCGUGCUUAACACAUGCAAGUCGAACGAUGAAGCCCAGCUUGCUGGGUGGAUUAGUGGCGAACGGGUGAGUAACACGUGAGUAACCUGCCCUUGACUCUGGGAUAAGCCUGGGAAACUGGGUCUAAUACUGGAUAUGACUUCUCAUCGCAUGGUGGGGGGUGGAAAGAUUUAUUGGUCUUGGAUGGACUCGCGGCCUAUCAGCUUGUUGGUGAGGUAAUGGCUCACCAAGGCGACGACGGGUAGCCGGCCUGAGAGGGUGACCGGCCACACUGGGACUGAGACACGGCCCAGACUCCUACGGGAGGCAGCAGUGGGGAAUAUGGCACAAUGGGCGCAAGCCUGAUGCAGCGACGCCGCGUGAGGGAGGACGGCCUUCGGGUUGUAAACCUCUUUCAGUAGGGAAGAAGCGAGAGUGACGGCACCUGCAGAAGAAGCGCCGGCUAACUACGU
Molecule: ribosomal RNA, 465 nt
Filed under: uncultured bacterium
Lineage: Bacteria
Description: partial 16S ribosomal RNA
Rfam family: Bacterial small subunit ribosomal RNA
Source: RNAcentral